This 538-nucleotide ribosomal RNA is filed under the name uncultured bacterium. RNAcentral's name for it is "partial 16S ribosomal RNA". It matches the Rfam family "Bacterial small subunit ribosomal RNA", at positions 355 to 882 of the family's 1533-position model. The record is from RNAcentral.
UGGGGAAUAUUGCACAAUGGGCGCAAGCCUGAUGCAGCCAUGCCGCGUGUGUGAAGAAGGCCUUCGGGUUGUAAAGCACUUUCAGCGAGGAGGAAGGUGGUGAGCUUAAUACGCUCAUCAAUUGACGUUACUCGCAGAAGAAGCACCGGCUAACUCCGUGCCAGCAGCCGCGGUAAUACGGAGGGUGCAAGCGUUAAUCGGAAUUACUGGGCGUAAAGCGCACGCAGGCGGUUUGUUAAGUCAGAUGUGAAAUCCCCGGGCUCAACCUGGGAACUGCAUUUGAAACUGGCAAGCUAGAGUCUCGUAGAGGGGGGUAGAAUUCCAGGUGUAGCGGUGAAAUGCGUAGAGAUCUGGAGGAAUACCGGUGGCGAAGGCGGCCCCCUGGACGAAGACUGACGCUCAGGUGCGAAAGCGUGGGGCAGCAAACAGGAUUAGAUACCCUGGUAGUCCACGCUGUAAAACGAUGUCGAUUUUGGAGGUUGUGCCCUUGAGGCGUGGCUUCCGGAGCUAACGCGUUAAAUCGACCGCCUGGGGAGUA